AACGAACGCUGGCGGCAGGCCUAACACAUGCAAGUCGAGCGCCCCGCAAGGGGAGCGGCGGACGGGUGAGUAACGCGUGGGAACGUACCCUUUGCUACGGAAUAGCCUCGGGAAACUGGGAGUAAUACCGUAUGUGCCCUUCGGGGGAAAGAUUUAUCGGCAAAGGAUCGGCCCGCGUUGGAUUAGGUAGUUGGUGGGGUAAUGGCCUACCAAGCCGACGAUCCAUAGCUGGUUUGAGAGGAUGAUCAGCCACACUGGGACUGAGACACGGCCCAGACUCCUACGGGAGGCAGCAGUGGGGAAUCUUAGACAAUGGGCGCAAGCCUGAUCUAGCCAUGCCGCGUGAGCGAUGAAGGCCUUAGGGUUGUAAAGCUCUUUCAGUGGGGAAGAUAAUGACUGUACCCACAGAAGAAGCCCGGCUAACUCCGUG
This 430-nucleotide ribosomal RNA is filed under the name uncultured bacterium. Its description in RNAcentral is "bacterial SSU rRNA". It matches the Rfam family "Bacterial small subunit ribosomal RNA", at positions 29 to 507 of the family's 1533-position model. The record is from RNAcentral.